AGAGGGUGAUCCUGCUGCUCAGCUCACAGGGGCCUGUGUGUGUGGCAGCUCCAUCUGGACCCUGUUGGCCCUUCUCAUGGGAGGCCUGAGGACACAGCCAGCAUGGGAGGACUCUCGGGCCCUCUCAGGGGAGAAGACCACAAAACUCCACCGUCACUCCAGGCUGGCUUGCCCUGGAAUUCGUUUCUGCGGUGUAGUCAAGAAUCCCAUCCCAGCUUCACCUGAGUGGAGGUCUCAGAAGAAUUCACAGGCUGCUGCAGGUGGCUGCAUGGAGCUGUUUGUCUGGCCUGGACUGCACAGCCUGUGACAAAGCCAGUGUGCUGUGUGAGAGCUGAGUGCUGUGGAAAGGGAUGGAGGAAAGGUUGGAGAAGGGGGAAAGCACCUCCCCCCAACUCUGAAGGGUGUUGGGAUAGGGGUGCUGUGAGCUGGGGGUUCAGAGUAGAAGCUCUGAGUGCUAUGGGGGGGGGCAGUUAUGACAAACCAUCAGGGGCACAGGGAGGCGGGAUCCACUCUCAGAGUUUUCCUCCAUGUCCUGCUUUUCUUGAGGCCUCCAGAGCCUCAGGAGGUGCUGGUGCAGUUCCAAGUGGGUCAGAACUCACAGUCAGCCACGCCUCUUUCCCUUCCACUAAAUUCUCCACUGCCUUCCAUGGUCAAGCCACUGGAGAAAUGGACUAACUAGGGUUAAGGUUUCAAGUUUCUCAGGCCAGGUUGUGGCAGUAUAUGGGGACAUGCACUCAGACUAACAGUAGGAGCAAUUCAUAAUGCAUGGGAAUAGUCAAGAAUGGUGCAGUCUGACCAAGUCACAAGAAGCUCAGCACUGGACAGAUCCAUCAAGUAGCCCAGGAGGACAGUGGGAAGGACCAGUAUCCCAUAUAUACCAAUCAUGUGGUUUGGGCUGCCCCAAAGGAAUGCCACAUUGAGCAAGUUCUUUCUACCAUGGGUGGUGACCAGAUCCUCAGCCACAGUGGGUCUUUGUUGGCUAAUGCAGGAAUCUGUGAUUUCUGACCACUGUUAUAAGAGCGCCCAACUUUAUUAAGAAACCCCCAGUUCUGGGCCAAAUGAAUGGUAGGUAGGCUUUCAAACACACACACACACACACCACACACACCACACACACAUUCAUGACCCCCCUCCCAUAUAUAUAUAGUCAUGAAGCCAGGCUGGCUUUGAAUUCCUGAUAAUAUCUUUAUGUCCCAAGUGCUGGGAUUGCAUGUAUAGAUCACCAUGACUCCAAAACAAACAGCAAACUAGACUUUGCCAUGCAAAGGGCUUCCCUCAACAUAAGGUGACAGGGAAGUCACUGACAUCUUACUGAAGGGGAAAGCAGGAGACAGAUAACGGCAGUGGUGUGGAGAGAAAGGGGAGAGACUGCAGGGCUAAAAGACUACUGCUUACAAUGAAGCAGAAGAGCUGGAGAGGUAGCACGGCAGGGCUGUGUAUCAAGUAGACCAAAGUGAUAGACUUGCUCCUACAAGUUGUUUCCUCGGAUUCUGAGGCAUAGUCUUAGUUACCCCUGCUGGGCUCUCCUGAGGCCAAGCUUUUCCUCAGAAGCAGAAUGUCAGGCAGGCUGGUCUUCUGAGGCUCCCACUUCCUCCCAUGUCCCAGUGACUGCGAUGGCUGCAUCCUGGAAACAUCUCUUCAGUCAAUCUUUUGUGACUAGCUGUCAGCCAUCACUUUCCUAAACCACCAGAUGCCACCAGCAGUGACAUCAUCAGGAGCCACAGGCUCUGCACCUAAGCUCCAGCACAGCUGAGACUGGAGGAAAUACAGAAGGCCUCCAUCUUUGCCCGGCUCUUCACUACUGGAAACAUGCCCCUGUGUGGACUCGAAAGGUGCAUGUUCCUAGCCCCUCUGUGGCCCAGCUAUGACAGGACUAUAUGUUCCUAAGAUCAUUUCAGGAAGAGAGCAGAGGCCAGAAUGUGGGGAAAUUGCCACAUGUCCAGUGAAAUCUCUGUAACAUUUUUAUUAACUGUAUUCAACUAAAACCAAAUGACACAAACCAUCUGGUUUGUUUAAUAAAUUGAGCAUCAUAAACAGCUAAGACCGACCCCCAAACAUCAAGGUAAAUGAAAGGCCGUCAUUGUUCAGAAGCAAAGGUGUAAUCAAACUCUAAUUUUCUAUUCCAAUAGACAUCUUUGAAUUAGUUUCUAUCCCACUAAUUAUGAAGAGUUUUUUUUAUUAGUGUUCUACUUGAUUAGUAAAGCACAAAACACAGAUUACCUAUAAUAUUACUCUCAAUCCCCCUGGGGAGUACCCGGGUGGUUUCUGCACGUGUUUAAAUGCUAAACAAGAAAAGCCAGGAGAAUGAGAAGAUGCGGAGGGGGAGGGGAACACCAGCCAGUUUUUAAGAAUUUUAAAGAGAGCAAGGAGAGAUCUAUGGGAGGCUUUGGUGAGUGGAAAGAACAGGGAGGAGGGAAUGGUGUGUUAAAAUCUCAAACACAAAAGAAAGAAAUAAAAAACAUUAAAUCUGAAAGACAAAAAUGAAGCCACCUAGCACAGUGCCUGGAUCCCUUUGUGCUGUCUAGAUAAAAUAUUUAUAGUUGUGCCUUGGGCCUCAGGAGAGAACCCCUUAACUAUUAAGAGAUAUUUUGAAAAUUAUAUUCUAAAAGACUGGAAUCCCUAGAACAGAUAAAUUCAUAGACAAAGACAUAGGUAAGUCGCCAAAAUGAAAUCUAGAGAAUAGAAACAACUUAAUGGAUCCAUAACAAGCAACGUGGUUGAAGCAAUGCGAACAGCAGCCUCCUCAGAGAGAGCCUCAGAAGACAGGGUUUUACUGAACUCUACUAAACCUUCAAAGAACUAAUGCAUGGUGCUCAAGUUGCUCCAUAAAAAUAAAAAGAGAAAGAAUGCUAACAAAUCCCCUCAAAGAAACCAGCAUCACCCUGGUAGCAAAAUGGGAUAAGGAUCCCGCCAGACAAAUGCACAAAACUCAAGAGACCAAUUUCCCUGAGCAUACACACAAAAAUUCUCAGUAAAAUACUUGCAUAUUGAAUUCAACAGCUCAUGAAGAUGAUCACAUACUAUCAGCAAGUUGACUUUUUCCAAGAAUACAGGAUGGUCCAACAGUUACAAGUCAAUAAUUUUAAUACUGUACAUAAACUUAACAAUAGAAAUUACAGGGUCUUUUUAAUGGAUGCAGAAGUGUUCUUUGACAACAUUGAACAUCCUGUCAUGAUAAAAAGCUUCCAAGAAACUAAGAAUAAAAGAUAUAUUAUCUAUCUAUCUAUAUCUAUUAUCUAUCAAUGUAUUAUCUAUCAUCUAUUUAUCAAUUAUCUAUCAUCUAUUAUCUAUCAUCAUCUAUCAUCUAUCUAUCCACCUAUUAUCUAUUUAUCAUCUACAUAUCUGCCUAUCUAUCUAUCAUCUAUUUAUCUAUCUAUCAUCUAUAUCUAUCAUCUAUCAUAUAUUAUCUAAUUUUCAACUUGACAGAAUCUAGAAUGAUCUGAGAGAUGGGUCUCUGCCUGUGGAGUUAGCUUUAUUGUAUUAACAAAAUGGGCAUACCUGUUCACUGUGGGUGGUACCAUUCCCCUAGAUUGGGUUCUCCACUGCAUAAAACAGGGAAAGGGCCACUGGAUAGCAGCAUGAGUUCAUCACUUUCUUCCUUCUGCUUGUGUAUACAAUGUAAAUAAGCACUUGAAGUACCAGCUACCCUGACUUCUCUGCUAUGAUGGACCUUGAACCUUGAGUCAAAAGAAACCCUUUUUCCUGGAGUUGCUGUUCUCAGAACUCAACUCAGUAAUGCUUGCUGCUCCUCCAGAGGAUCAGAGCUCAGUUCUCAGCACCCCAGUAAAGUGGUUCACAGGGGAUCCAAUGCCCUUUUGGCCCUUUUGGCCUUUGAGAGUUCCAGCAAGCAAGCAAGCACGCAUGCACACACGCACGCACGCACGCGCACACACACACACACGAUCUUAAAAAAGAAAAUGUUCUGCAGAGUUAUGGCAGCAAAAGGAACAUGGUGUGGACACAAAAGCAGACAUGUAGACCACUGGAAAGGAUAGGGGAACCAGAGAUAAACUUACCAUCUAUAGACAACUUUUGACAAAGCUGUCACAUAUAUACUGAAACCCAGUCUCUUUAAAAACUGCCACCAGUUUCCACUGGGGAGAAACCAGACCCAUGGCUUCUACCCUGCAGGAAAUCGAUUCAAACAGACCAAUGACCUUGAUACAAGCCUUAAACUUUUGAAACUUCCAGGAGAAACCAGUUUAAGAUACAAGCACAGGCAAAGACUUUUUUUUUUUAAAUAAGAUUCCGGUGACACAGGAAAGAAUACCAAAUAUCUUUAAAAAUCAGAUUGUGUGAAUCUAAAAGUUUUCUGUACAGCGAAGGAAAGAAACUGUUAGCAAAGAGAAGGGACAGCCCACAGAAAGGGAGACCUUUGCCAACCAUACAACUGACAGGGGAUUAAUAGCUAGAACCUAUAAUGGCCUAAAAAAAAAAAA
This 4439-nucleotide long non-coding RNA is filed under the name Mus caroli (Ryukyu mouse). RNAcentral describes it as "lncRNA (MGP_CAROLIEiJ_G0002804.1)". The record is from RNAcentral. Lineage: Eukaryota; Metazoa; Chordata; Mammalia; Rodentia; Muridae.